Molecule: long non-coding RNA, 329 nt
Organism: Fukomys damarensis (Damara mole-rat)
Lineage: Eukaryota; Metazoa; Chordata; Mammalia; Rodentia; Bathyergidae
Exons: 3
Source: RefSeq, a predicted model, not a curated record
CACGCUCGGGGCCAGGCCCUGCCCUUCGUCCGCCCCGCCCACCCUCACCUGCUGUUCCUAGCGUAGUGAAGCUCUGGUGACCAACCGCCAGGGAGAGACAACUAAGUCCCUGGCCCUGGCCCCGAAAGACCAACGAAAGGUGAUUGGGGGCCUUUCCUACGAUUCCCUGGUACCCUAGCUUCUCUCAGAAGGGUCUAAACUCAAAUCGGAGGAAUGGUCUCUGCCCGCGGGGAGGCAGAGCCCAAAGAGGCCUGUAUGGCCAGGCUGGCCUUCCUUUAGUCACAGGAGCCGUCCUUCCAGCCAUCACGCCAGCGUUCAUCCACCUGUGA